GAGGGAAAUCAAACACUCGGGAGGAAGCAGAGGGUUUGCCGUUUGAAGAAUGAAGAAUGAUCAUAGUUAACUAAGCAAGUGGGGUUGCUUUUCUCUUUAUGCUUGAUUGUUGUAAAUCCUUAGACGCCAUGAGUCUGAGCUCAAGAUCGUGAUGAGAUCUUGAGGUGUGAGUUUACAAUUGUUGAGAACUUUGUGAGAGAGAGAGAUACAAUCUAUUGUACUUGCAUUUGAGUGUUACACUUCACGGUAUCGAAAAUCUAUCAGAAUAAUACGGAAAAUUCACGUUUGUAAUAAAUAAAUAUAUGAGCUGCUCAUAUUUCUGAAACCUGAACUUUCGUAGAAUAAAAGCAGUUAUCCACAGAGACUCCACAAGGUUGGUAUGGCCGUUGAUGCGAAUGGAAACUGGUGAUUCAGUGAGUUUGAAGUGGAUGUUACUUCUUGUGACAU
Molecule: long non-coding RNA, 447 nt
Filed under: Brassica napus (rape)
Lineage: Eukaryota; Viridiplantae; Streptophyta; Magnoliopsida; Brassicales; Brassicaceae
Description: long non-coding RNA (BNAP_LNC022705)
Source: RNAcentral